AUUGAACGCUGGCGGCAUGCUUUACACAUGCAAGUCGAACGGCAGCGCGGGCUUCGGCCUGGCGGCGAGUGGCGAACGGGUGAGUAAUUCAUCGGAACGUGCCCAGUAGUGGGGGAUAGCCCGGCGAAAGCCGGAUUAAUACCGCAUACGACCUGAGGGUGAAAGCGGGGGACCGAAAGGCCUCGCGCUAUUGGAGCGGCCGAUGUCGGAUUAGCUAGUUGGUGGGGUAAAGGCUUACCAAGGCGACGAUCCGUAGCUGGUCUGAGAGGACGACCAGCCACACUGGGACUGAGACACGGCCCAGACUCCUACGGGAGGCAGCAGUGGGGAAUUUUGGACAAUGGGGGAAACCCUGAUCCAGCCAUGCCGCGUGCGGGAAGAAGGCCUUCGGGUUGUAAACCGCUUUUGUUCGGGAAGAAAUCCUCUGGGCUAAUACCCCGGGGGGAUGACGGUACCGGAAGAAUAAGCACCGGCUAACUACGUG
Molecule: ribosomal RNA, 484 nt
Filed under: uncultured bacterium
Lineage: Bacteria
Description: partial 16S ribosomal RNA
Rfam family: Bacterial small subunit ribosomal RNA
Source: RNAcentral